GAUGAACGCUGGCGGCGUGCCUAACACAUGCAAGUCGAGCGAAGCGAUUUCAAUGAAGUUUUCGGAUGGAUUUGAGAUUGACUGAGCGGCGGACGGGUGAGUAACGCGUGGGUAACCUGCCUCAUACGAGGGGGAUAACAGUUAGAAAUGACUGCUAAUACCGCAUAAGCGCACGGGAUCGCAUGAUCCAGUGUAGAAAAACUGAGGUGGUAUGAGAUGGACCCGCGUCUGAUUAGCUAGUUGGUGAGGUAACGGCCCACCAAGGCGACGAUCAGUAGCCGACCGGAGAGGGUGACCGGCCACAUUGGGACUGAGACACGGCCCAA
Molecule: ribosomal RNA, 326 nt
Filed under: uncultured bacterium
Lineage: Bacteria
Description: bacterial SSU rRNA
Rfam family: Bacterial small subunit ribosomal RNA
Source: RNAcentral